Molecule: ribosomal RNA, 252 nt
Filed under: uncultured bacterium
Lineage: Bacteria
Description: partial 16S ribosomal RNA
Rfam family: Bacterial small subunit ribosomal RNA
Source: RNAcentral
CGGAGGAUCCAAGCGUUAUCCGGAUUUAUUGGGUUUAAAGGGUGCGUAGGCGGCUUUUUAAGUCAGGGUGAAAGCUUGCGGCUCAACCGUAAGCUUGCCUUUGAUACUGAGGAGCUUGAAUACACUUGAGGUAGGCGGAAUGUGACAAGUAGCGGUGAAAUGCAUAGAUAUGUCACAGAACACCAAUUGCGAAGGCAGCUUACUAAAGUGAGAUUGACGCUGAGGCACGAAAGCGUGGGAUCAAACAGGAUU